This 534-nucleotide small RNA is filed under the name Pongo abelii (Sumatran orangutan). Its description in RNAcentral is "processed transcript". The record is from RNAcentral. Lineage: Eukaryota; Metazoa; Chordata; Mammalia; Primates; Hominidae.
GCCUUGUGCUCUUCUUGCCCCUGGGAGCACUGGGGGCAUCCUGAGUCAGGCUGUGAGCAGAGUCGCCACCAGAGGGUGCCCCGGGCCCUGGGUCGUCCAAGGGGACAAGGAAGUUCCCGUCUGUGCUUCGGGGUUCCCUGACCCCGUCCAUCCUGCGGCCCACCUUCCUGCAGUGUCUCAGCAGGUGACACUGACUCCUAGGCGCCCUCCAGAGCCAGACAGCUUGCGACUUCUGAGUUGCACGGUCAAUUGGCCCAUGAAGGGGACGCCUACUUUCAAACAAGACAGACAGGACACGACAGGACGGCGGCUCAUAGCACAGACUUUGGAGCACAGUGGAUGGGACCAGAUCCUGGCUCCACUUCUGGCUAGCUGUGUGGCCCUGGGCAAGCUGCUUAACUUCUCUGGGCCUCAGUUUCUCCCCCUGUAAACUGGGGGAUGUGAACAGCACCUGCCUCCGAGUCCUAAGGAUUGAGAGUAGUCGUGUAAAGUGCUCAGGUCCACAGGCCAUCAAUACUAAUAGUUAAAAAUUAU